CCUACGGGAGGCAGCAGUGGGGAAUAUUGCACAAUGGGGGAAACCCUGAUGCAGUGACGCCGCGUGAGUGAAGAAGUAAUUCGUUAUGUAAAGCUCUAUCAGCAGGGAAGAAAAUGACGGUACUUGAGUAAGAAGCCCCGGCUAACUCCGUGCCAGCAGCCGCGGUAAUACGUAGGGGGCAAGCGUUAUCCGGAUUUACUGGGUGGAAAGGGAGCGUAGCCGGCAGUGGAAGUCUGGAGUGAAAGGCGGGGGCUCAACCCCCGGACUGCUCAGGAAACUGUACGGCUGGAGUGCAGGAGAGGGAAGUGGAAUUCCUAGUGGAGCGGUGAAAUGCGUAGAUAUUAGGAGGAACACCAGUGGCGAAGGCGGCUUACUGGACUGUAACUGACGUUGAGGCUCGAAAGCGUGGGGAGCAAACAGGAUUAGAUACCCCUGUAGUC
Molecule: ribosomal RNA, 440 nt
Filed under: uncultured bacterium
Lineage: Bacteria
Description: partial 16S ribosomal RNA
Rfam family: Bacterial small subunit ribosomal RNA
Source: RNAcentral